UACGGGGGGGGCUAGCGUUGUUCGGAAUUACUGGGCGUAAGGGGCGCGUAGGCGGCCUACUAAGUCGGACGUGAAAUCCCUCGGCUCAACCGGGGAACUGCGUCCGAUACUGGUGGGCUCGAAUCCGGGAGAGGGAUGUGGAAUUCCAGGUGUAGCGGUGAAAUGCGUAGAUAUCUGGAGGAACACCGGUGGCGAAGGCGGCAUCCUGGACCGGUAUUGACGCUGAUGCGCGAAAGCCAGGGGAGCAAACGGG
RNAcentral lists this ribosomal RNA (253 nucleotides) under uncultured bacterium. Its description in RNAcentral is "partial 16S ribosomal RNA". It matches the Rfam family "Bacterial small subunit ribosomal RNA", at positions 524 to 776 of the family's 1533-position model. The record is from RNAcentral.